RNAcentral lists this ribosomal RNA (481 nucleotides) under uncultured bacterium. Its description in RNAcentral is "partial 16S ribosomal RNA". It matches the Rfam family "Bacterial small subunit ribosomal RNA", at positions 28 to 507 of the family's 1533-position model. The record is from RNAcentral.
GAUGAACGCUGGCGGCGUGCUUAACACAUGCAAGUCGAACGAAGCACUUUAUUUGAUUUCCUUCGGGACUGAUUAUUUUGUGACUGAGUGGCGGACGGGUGAGUAACGCGUGGGUAACCUGCCUUGUACAGGGGGAUAACAGUUGGAAACGGCUGCUAAUACCGCAUAAGCGCACAGCAUCGCAUGAUGCAGUGUGAAAAACUCCGGUGGUAUAAGAUGGACCCGCGUUGGAUUAGCUAGUUGGUGAGGUAACGGCCCACCAAGGCGACGAUCCAUAGACGACCUGAGAGGGUGACCGGACACAUUGGGACUGAGACACGGCCCAAAAUCCUACGGGAGGCAGCAGUGGGGAAUAUUGCAAAAUGGGCGAAAGCCUGAUGCAGCGCCGCCGCGUGAGCGAAGAAGUAUUUCGGUAUGUAAAGCUAUAUCAGCAGGGAAGAUAAUGACGGUACCUGAAUAAGAAGCACCGGCUAAAUACGUG